GGCGAAUUCCCUGCCAAACCGCGUCGAAACCCAGAACGGGCCCGGGUGCAUUCGAACGCGUGAACGCAACAUUCCAGAAACCGCUGCUCUAACAAGGACAGACACUUUGGCCCAUUGACGUCACGCUGCGUCUCUAAUCACUGCAUCACGUUCUGUGCACAUACGUAGAGAGCGCGUGGGAUGCGCGAAAUACCACGCAAGGUUCGAUGCGUUUAAAGGAAACGUGAAUAUCGCCUCGACCAAACGAAAGCAAAUACAAGGAACGCGGGCCGAUCUCGAAGGACGGCACAACAAAAAUCUUCAAUUCCCUCUACGGCACGAAGGAAAGUAAAGCACUUGGAACGAUCUAAGGCUCGAGUUCAGAGCAACAAGAAUGCUUUGGUACAAGCUUUCGCGAAGUAGAACGCUCAAUGAAAGGCAAAUAAUUAACCCGACAUCGAGUUCUGGCUCGUGAUGAUGUCACAAUCCACAAUUAAUCAU
This 480-nucleotide unclassified non-coding RNA is filed under the name Bombus terrestris (buff-tailed bumblebee). RNAcentral describes it as "misc RNA ENSBTSG00005033983.1". The record is from RNAcentral. Lineage: Eukaryota; Metazoa; Arthropoda; Insecta; Hymenoptera; Apidae.